Molecule: ribosomal RNA, 112 nt
Filed under: Staphylococcus capitis
Lineage: Bacteria; Bacillati; Bacillota; Bacilli; Caryophanales; Staphylococcaceae
Description: partial 23S ribosomal RNA
Rfam family: Bacterial large subunit ribosomal RNA
Source: RNAcentral
UCCCAACUUCGGUUAUAAGAUCCCUCGAAGAUGACGAGGUUAAUAGGUUCGAGGUGGAAGCGUGGUGACACGUGGAGCUGACGAAUACUAAUCGAUCGAAGACUUAAUCAAU